This 329-nucleotide unclassified non-coding RNA is filed under the name soil metagenome. RNAcentral describes it as "partial contains 5.8S ribosomal RNA, internal transcribed spacer 2, and large subunit ribosomal RNA". The stretch from base 1 to 120 matches the Rfam family "5.8S ribosomal RNA", at positions 35 to 154 of the family's 154-position model. The record is from RNAcentral.
GAUGAAGAACGCAGCGAAAUGCGAUAAGUAGUGUGAAUUGCAGAAUUCAGUGAAUCAUCGAAUCUUUGAACGCACAUUGCGCCCUCUGGUAUUCCGGGGGGCAUGCCUGUUCGAGCGUCAUUAUAACCACUCAAGCUCUCGCUUGGUAUUGGAGUUCGCGAUCUCGCGGCUCCUAAAAUCAGUGGCGGUGCCUGUCGGCUCUACGCGUAGUAAUACUCCUCGCGAUUGAGUCCGGUAGGUUUACUUGCCAGCAACCCCCAAUUUUUACAGGUUGACCUCGGAUCAGGUAGGGAUACCCGCUGAACUUAAGCAUAUCAAUAAGCGGAGGA